GGCGGACGGGUGAGUAAUGUCUGGGAAACUGCCUGAUGGAGGGGGAUAACUACUGGAAACGGUAGCUAAUACCGCAUAACGUCGCAAGACCAAAGAGGGGGACCUUCGGGCCUCUUGCCAUCGGAUGUGCCCAGAUGGGAUUAGCUAGUAGGUGGGGUAACGGCUCACCUAGGCGACGAUCCCUAGCUGGUCUGAGAGGAUGACCAGCCACACUGGAACUGAGACACGGUCCAGACUCCUACGGGAGGCAGCAGUGGGGAAUAUUGCACAAUGGGCGCAAGCCUGAUGCAGCCAUGCCGCGUGUAUGAAGAAGGCCUUCGGGUUGUAAAGUACUUUCAGCGGGGAGGAAGGCGAUAAGGUUAAUAACCUUGUCGAUUGACGUUACCCGCAGAAGAAGCACCGGCUAACUCCGUGCCAGCAGCCGCGGUAAUACGGAGGGUGCAAGCGUUAAUCGGAAUUACUGGGCGUAAAGCGCACGCAGGCGGUCUGUCAAGUCGGAUGUGAAAUCCCCGGGCUCAACCUGGGAACUGCAUUCGAAACUGGCAGGCUAGAGUCUUGUAGAGGGGGGUAGAAUUCCAGGUGUAGCGGUGAAAUGCGUAGAGAUCUGGAGGAAUACCGGUGGCGAAGGCGGCCCCCUGGACAAAGACUGACGCUCAGGUGCGAAAGCGUGGGGAGCAAACAGGAU
Molecule: ribosomal RNA, 685 nt
Filed under: Enterobacter sp. IK4
Lineage: Bacteria; Pseudomonadati; Pseudomonadota; Gammaproteobacteria; Enterobacterales; Enterobacteriaceae
Description: bacterial SSU rRNA
Rfam family: Bacterial small subunit ribosomal RNA
Source: RNAcentral